UACAGAGGGGGCAAGCGUUGUUCGGAAUCAUUGGGCGUAAAGGGUGCGUAGGCGGCCAUGUAAGUCAGUUGUGAAAUCCCCGGGCUCAACCCGGGAAGUGCUUCUGAUACAGCUUGGCUUGAAUAUUGGAGAGGUGAGUGGAAUUCCAGGUGUAGUGGUGAAAUUCGUAGAUAUGGGGAGGAACACCGGUGGCGAAGGCGGCCACCUGGACGGUAACUGACGCUGAGACGCGAAAGCGUGGGGAGCAAACAGG
Molecule: ribosomal RNA, 253 nt
Filed under: uncultured bacterium
Lineage: Bacteria
Description: partial 16S ribosomal RNA
Rfam family: Bacterial small subunit ribosomal RNA
Source: RNAcentral